AUACGGAGGGAGCUAGCGUUGUUCGGAAUUACUGGGCGUAAAGCGCACGUAGGCGGCAUUGCAAGUUGGGGGUGAAAUCCCGGAGCUUAACUCCGGAACUGCCUCCAAAACUACAAAGCUAGAGGAUGUGAGAGGAUAGUGGAAUUCCGAGUGUAGAGGUGAAAUUCGUAGAUAUUCGGAAGAACACCAGUGGCGAAGGCGACUGUCUGGCACAUUUCUGACGCUGAGGUGCGAAAGCGUGGGGAGCAAACAGGAUUAGAUACCCCGGUAGUCC
RNAcentral lists this ribosomal RNA (274 nucleotides) under uncultured bacterium. RNAcentral describes it as "partial 16S ribosomal RNA". It matches the Rfam family "Bacterial small subunit ribosomal RNA", at positions 523 to 796 of the family's 1533-position model. The record is from RNAcentral.